RNAcentral lists this ribosomal RNA (1078 nucleotides) under Salmonella enterica. RNAcentral's name for it is "partial 23S ribosomal RNA". It matches the Rfam family "Bacterial large subunit ribosomal RNA", at positions 690 to 1765 of the family's 2925-position model. RNAcentral also lists the same sequence under 2 other names. Lineage: Bacteria; Pseudomonadati; Pseudomonadota; Gammaproteobacteria; Enterobacterales; Enterobacteriaceae. The record is from RNAcentral.
GGGCGUUAAGUUGCAGGGUAUAGACCCGAAACCCGGUGAUCUAGCCAUGGGCAGGUUGAAGGUUGGGUAACACUAACUGGAGGACCGAACCGACUAAUGUUGAAAAAUUAGCGGAUGACCUGUGGCUGGGGGUGAAAGGCCAAUCAAACCGGGAGAUAGCUGGUUCUCCCCGAAAGCUAUUUAGGUAGCGCCUCGUGAAUUCAUCUCCGGGGGUAGAGCACUGUUUCGGCUAGGGGGCCAUCCCGGCUUACCAACCCGAUGCAAACUGCGAAUACCGGAGAAUGUUAUCACGGGAGACACACGGCGGGUGCUAACGUCCGUCGUGAAGAGGGAAACAACCCAGACCGCCAGCUAAGGUCCCAAAGUCAUGGUUAAGUGGGAAACGAUGUGGGAAGGCCCAGACAGCCAGGAUGUUGGCUUAGAAGCAGCCAUCAUUUAAAGAAAGCGUAAUAGCUCACUGGUCGAGUCGGCCUGCGCGGAAGAUGUAACGGGGCUAAACCAUGCACCGAAGCUGCGGCAGCGACGCUGAUGCGUUGUUGGGUAGGGGAGCGUUCUGUAAGCCUGUGAAGGUGUGUCGUGAGGCAUGCUGGAGGUAUCAGAAGUGCGAAUGCUGACAUAAGUAACGAUAAAGCGGGUGAAAAGCCCGCUCGCCGGAAGACCAAGGGUUCCUGUCCAACGUUAAUCGGGGCAGGGUGAGUCGACCCCUAAGGCGAGGCCGAAAGGCGUAGUCGAUGGGAAACGGGUUAAUAUUCCCGUACUUGGUGUUACUGCGAAGGGGGGACGGAGAAGGCUAUGUUGGCCGGGCGACGGUUGUCCCGGUUUAAGCGUGUAGGUGUGUGUUCCAGGUAAAUCCGGUUCACUUUAACACUGAGGCGUGACGACGAGGCACUACGGUGCUGAAGCAACAAAUGCCCUGCUUCCAGGAAAAGCCUCUAAGCAUCAGGUAACACGAAAUCGUACCCCAAACCGACACAGGUGGUCAGGUAGAGAAUACCAAGGCGCUUGAGAGAACUCGGGUGAAGGAACUAGGCAAAAUGGUGCCGUAACUUCGGGAGAAGGCACGCUGACACGUAGGUGA